CCUACGGGAGACAGCAGUGGGGAAUAUUGGGCAAUGGGCGCAAGCCUGACCCAGCAACGCCGCGUGAAGGAAGAAGGCUUUCGGGUUGUAAACUUCUUGUAAGAGGGAAGAGCAGAAGACGGUACCUCUUGAAUAAGCCACGGCUAACUACGUGCCAGCAGCCGCGGUCAUACGUAGGUGGCAAGCGUUGUCCGGAUUUACUGGGUGUAAAGGGCGUGCAGCCGGGAAGACAAGUCAGAUGUGAAAUCCCGCGGCUCAACCGCGGAACUGCAUUUGAAACUGUUUUUCUUGAGUACCGGAGAGGUCAUCGGAAUUCCUUGUGUAGCGGUGAAAUGCGUAGAUAUAAGGAAGAACACCAGUGGCGAAGGCGGAUGACUGGACGGCAACUGACGGUGAGGCGCGAAAGCGUGGGGAGCAAACAGGAUUAGAUACCCGUGUAGUC
RNAcentral lists this ribosomal RNA (442 nucleotides) under uncultured bacterium. RNAcentral describes it as "partial 16S ribosomal RNA". It matches the Rfam family "Bacterial small subunit ribosomal RNA", at positions 338 to 795 of the family's 1533-position model. The record is from RNAcentral.